Molecule: ribosomal RNA, 468 nt
Filed under: uncultured bacterium
Lineage: Bacteria
Description: partial 16S ribosomal RNA
Rfam family: Bacterial small subunit ribosomal RNA
Source: RNAcentral
GACGAACGCUGGCGGCGUGCUUAACACAUGCAAGUCGAACGGAAAGGCCCUGCUUUUGCGGGGUGCUCGAGUGGCGAACGGGUGAGUAACACGUGUGUAACCUGCCCUUGACUUAGGGAUAUCUUUACGAAACUGGGGCUAAUACCGGAUAGGAGCUCCUGCUGCAUGGGGGGCGUUGGAAAGUUUCGGCGGUUGGGGAUGGACUCGCGGCUUAUCAGCUUGUUGGUGGGGUUGUGGCUUACCAAGGCUCUGACGGGUAGCCGGCCUGGGAGGGUUACCGGCGACAUUGCGGCUGAGCUACGGCACAGACUACAACCGUAGGCAAGGGUGGAGAAGAUUACACAGUAGGCGGGAGGCAGGUGUGACAACGCCACGUGCGGGAAGACGGGAUUCGGGUAGUGAACCGAUUUCGCCUGUGACGAGGAGUGAGUGACGGUAAUGGGUAAAGAAGCACCGGCUAACUACGUG